CAGCUGAGUACAAGGGGCGGGCAGCUGCGUUUGAGAACCAGUGUUAACAGGGGUAUUCUUAUUAUACUAGAGUUCAUGGAGGUCAGAUUGCCAAAGGGUACAAAGCGGGAAAGUGGGCAAAGCAAGCUUCAAACUCAGCUGCGGCUUGGAGCCCCUUGGAAAGUCGUGAUGGGGACGGGCCAUAGAGACUGAGAGGAGAGACAGAGGAAGAGGAGCCACUGGUAUUUUAUAAGGCCACUGUGCAUUUUACCUUUGCCAAUAGCUUCCCAUUUUCUCUAGUCACUGAAUCUAUUCUCCCAGUUGUCAGUGAUCCACAAAAGGUUUUCUUUCCUCAUUCCAAAGGGCCCACGAGCCCCUCCCAAAUCCUUCUGUAUUUGUUCUCAGUGAAGCGUGCUUCAGAGAACUGCCUCUCUCUCCACCUAGCUCUGCCCAGGUGAUACUCUGUCGGUUCUGAUUAAGGUGCGGAAAUGGCAUUCAGCAAGCCUGCAUUGGCCAUCUUCGGAGCCGAACAGAUACCAGGGUUCAGGGAAUAAGGCUUACAUCCUCUCUGCCCUCAGUGGGCUACAUGUGUGAUACGGACUCAUGUGACACAGAUGAGCAAAUGCUGUGGGAGCCCAGGGGGAGGAGCAUUUGACACUUCUCGGGGAGAUGAGGGAUGAUAUUGUAGUUAACAUCUCUUUGGCCAUCAGCUAAUGUUUUUAAGUGGGGAUUAUGGAUAAGUGUUGGCGCUACAGCACCAAAGAGCAGGAAGUCGUGAAAACGUGAAACUCAAGUCCCCGGGUAAGAACCUGGCUUCCUGUACCUUGGGCUCAGUCAGCAGCUUCCAUCUUUGGGUUUGAAGGAACUUUCCUGUGGCAACAUGCAUUUAGGGGACAGGGAUUGAAAGAAGGAUCUGGAAAGCACAUUUUCAAGGUUAAGAACCACUUCAAGAAAUCCUUUUAACACCUUAGGCUAGGGGUUGGCAAACUGUGGCCCCGCCUGCACCUAUUUUUGUAUGGCCCACAGGCUAAGAGUGGAUUUGGCAUUUCUAAAUGGUUGAAAAAGAUCAAAAGAAAAUGUUUCCUGAAAUGUGAAAAUUAUAUAAAAGUCAGAUUUCAGUAUCCAAAAAUACAGUUUUCUUGGAGCCCAG
This 1129-nucleotide long non-coding RNA is filed under the name Equus caballus (horse). RNAcentral describes it as "lncRNA (ENSECAG00000054837.1)". Lineage: Eukaryota; Metazoa; Chordata; Mammalia; Perissodactyla; Equidae. The record is from RNAcentral.